CCCAGCUCCUCCCAGAAACAGACAGGUGGGACAGAAGAAAUCCUCAGUGUUGGAAGCUGACUGCUAAAAGCUGGCUAGAGAGAGCCAGGACACUCAGAACUUGGGGGAGAGUUUAAAUAUUAUGUUGGAGAAAGACUCUGUGGGUAUUCUCACUUGACUAGAAGAAGGAUUACUUCUUCCUUGGACCCAGGAGUCUGCUGAGGUGUUCAUAGCUUCCUCCCGUGUCAAACAGUAAAAGUGGUGUGAUGAUGACCAAGUUGGAUGGUUAACGGAAGAUCUUCAACAUCAGAACGACCUUCUGCCUGAAAAGUUCAUCCACAGAGUCAAUAUACCAUUUCCUGUCAUCACUUUGCAUCCCUGAUCAGCGUGCUAAGCAAAGAGCAGCUGUGACUCAGCCUGGUGCGCUGAAGAGAUAGUUCCUGGUUCUUUUAAAGGGCACCUGUGUCCAUUUUUCUGCUGUGGAUAUCCAUCUUCCUUUAACAUUCCUAAAUUAAAAUUGAAGGCUUUAGGAAGAGUGAUUACUGUUAUUACUAUAAAGCGAUAUUAAAAAAUAAUAGCCUUUAAAAUAUAUUAACACAUUCUUGACAAAUGUUACUGGG
This is a long non-coding RNA of Saimiri boliviensis boliviensis (Bolivian squirrel monkey), 599 nucleotides long. RefSeq lists it as uncharacterized. The record is from RefSeq and is a predicted model, not a curated record. NCBI's taxonomy places the organism in Eukaryota, Metazoa, Chordata, Mammalia, Primates, Cebidae.